This 828-nucleotide non-coding RNA is filed under the name Holothuria spinifera. The record is from RNAcentral. Lineage: Eukaryota; Metazoa; Echinodermata; Holothuroidea; Aspidochirotida; Holothuriidae.
AGAAAACUUGGUUCUAGUUUCCUUUUUAGUUUUUUUCCGUCUGCCACAUGCAAGAAAAAAGCAACCCAGCGGAUAAAUCGCUCUCCUCUAACCAGCAGAGCGCUCAGCAUAAGUUAUUAACAAAAAGCCACUAACACCCGCGGCCAGCAGUGCUUAACAUUGUACAAUUUAAGAAAUUAAGAUACAGACAGGAAAAACAGAAGAGGCCCAUACCGUGCCAGCAGCCGCGGUUACACGCUACCUUCAAGUUAAAAAAUCCGGUGAAAAGAAGGGAAGGCCCAACAUAAACCAAUUGUAAGAAAACCUAAUAGCAGUAGUAAGCAGAGACAAAAUAAAAACAACAGACAAGCCCACCCAACAAGGAAAGAAAUAAACUAGGAUUAGAUACCCUACUAUACUUUUCCCACACGCAAAACCACCAGAGCAGUACGGCCAAGCUAAAACUUAAAGAACUUGGCGGUUUUCUAGACCUCCUUGGAGGAGCUUGUCAUCGAAUUGAUAACCCCCAAGAUACCUCACCUGUUUAAGAAUCCCAGCCUGUAUACCAUCGUCGUCAGCUCACCUCAGGAAAGAGUGAGCAAAAUGGAGUACACCCCCAACGUCAGAUCAAGGUGCAGCCAAUAAACAGGGGAUAGAUGAGCUACCUUACUUCAAAAACAGAGGAUGCGGAAAUGAAAAACCCACUGAAAAAGGAUUCAACAGUAACAAAAUAAAUAAAAAUUUCGUAAAGCAAGCUCUAGAAUGCGCACACAUCGCCCGUCACUCUCCUCUAACGAGGAGAAAAGUCGUAACAUAGUAGGUGUACCGGAAGGUGCCACCUGGCCCAAU